AUGAGAAAAAUUGAUCUGUGUUUGAGGUGAGGGGACUGAAGUGAUUUUAGCUACAUCAAGUGAUGAAAAACACCCACCUGAAAAUAUUAUUGAUGGGAAUCCAGAAACAUUUUGGACCACAACAGGAAUGUUUCCCCAAGAGGUUCAUUAUUUGUUUUCACAAACAUGUAAGGAUUGAAAGGCUUGUAAUCCAAAGUUACUUUGUGAGGACCUUGAGGAUUGAAAAGAGCACAUCUAAAGAGCCAAUUGAUUUUGAGCCGUGGAUUGAAAGAGAUCUAGUCCACAAGGAGGGGCAGCUUCAAAAUGAAGAAAUUAUGACCCGAGAUGGCCACACCACUCAUUUGAGAUUCAUUAUUAUAUCAGCCUUUGAUCAUUUUGCAUCUGCGCAUAGUGUUUCUGCAGAGGGCCUAGCAGUCUCAAAUCUUUCUUAG
RNA transcript from Odobenus rosmarus divergens (Pacific walrus), 431 nucleotides. It is a transcript of the gene named heat shock protein beta-11-like, with no coding region annotated. The transcript has a single exon. Lineage: Eukaryota; Metazoa; Chordata; Mammalia; Carnivora; Odobenidae. The record is from RefSeq and is a predicted model, not a curated record.